This 222-nucleotide long non-coding RNA is filed under the name Elaeis guineensis (African oil palm). Its description in RNAcentral is "long non-coding RNA (EGUI_LNC050944)". The record is from RNAcentral. Lineage: Eukaryota; Viridiplantae; Streptophyta; Magnoliopsida; Arecales; Arecaceae.
UUGCACUGCAAGAAAAAAAAUAAAAUAAUGGAAGAGGCUUGAGAGCUUAUUAUCAUGAAAGUUUUGAGUUCUGUUUGAUUCCUUCUUAUUAUCUGCCUUGGAGUUGAUCUUUGCAUUGGACUGGCCUAAUUUUGACUUUGGAUCAGUUCAAUUUUGACUUUGGAUUAGCCUAGAUCGAGCUUCAGAUUUGGCCUAGAUUUGGCUUCAGAUUGGUCUGGAUCC